GGGCGAAAGCCUGAUGCAGCGACGCCGCGUGAGGGAUGACGGCCUUCGGGUUGUAAACCUCUUUCAGCAGGGAAGAAGCGAAAGUGACGGUACCUGCAGAAGAAGCGCCGGCUAACUACGUGCCAGCAGCCGCGGUAAUACGUAGGGCGCAAGCGUUGUCCGGAAUUAUUGGGCGUAAAGAGCUCGUAGGCGGCUUGUCACGUCGGGUGUGAAAGCCCGGGGCUUAACCCCGGGUCUGCAUUCGAUACGGGCUAGCUAGAGUGUGGUAGGGGAGAUCGGAAUUCCUGGUGUAGCGGUGAAAUGCGCAGAUAUCAGGAGGAACACCGGUGGCGAAGGCGGAUCUCUGGGCCAUUACUGACGCUGAGGAGCGAAAGCGUGGGGAGCGAACAGGAUUAGAUACCCUGGUAGUCCACGCCGUAAACGGUGGGAACUAGGUGUUGGCGACAUUCCACGUCGUCGGUGCCGCAGCUAACGCAUUAAGUUCCCCGCCUGGGGAGUACGGCCGCAAGGCUAAAACUCAAAGGAAUUGACGG
RNAcentral lists this ribosomal RNA (533 nucleotides) under Streptomyces lutosisoli. RNAcentral's name for it is "bacterial SSU rRNA". It matches the Rfam family "Bacterial small subunit ribosomal RNA", at positions 373 to 916 of the family's 1533-position model. The record is from RNAcentral. Lineage: Bacteria; Bacillati; Actinomycetota; Actinomycetes; Kitasatosporales; Streptomycetaceae.